AUCAACUUUCGAUGGUAGGAUAGAGGCCUACCAUGGUGGUAACGGGUAACGGGGUGUUAGGGCACGACACCGGAGAGGGAGCCUGAGAAACGGCUACCACAUCCAAGGAUGGCAGCAGGCGCGCAAAUUACCCAAUCCCGACACGGGGAGGUAGUGACAAUAAAUAACAAUACGGGGUUCUUUAGGAUCUCGUAAUUGGAAUGAGUACAAUUUAAAUCUCUUAACGAGGAACAAUUGGAGGGCAAGUCUGGUGCCAGCAGCCGCGGUAAUUCCAGCUCCAAUAGCGUAUAUUAAAGUUGUUGCAGUUAAAAAGCUCGUAGUUGAAUUUCGGGGUUAGUAGGUUGGUCAUGCCUCUGGUAUGUACUGGUCUCACUGAUUCCUCCUUCCUGAUGAACCGUAAUGCCAUUAAUUUGGUGUUGCGGGGAAUUUGGACUGUUACUUUGAAAAAAUUAGAGUGUUUAAAGCAAGCUAACGCUUGAAUACAUUAGCAUGGAAUAAUGAAAUAGGACGUUCGAUCCUAUUUUGUUGGUUUCUAGGAUUGACGUAAUGAUUAAUAGGGAUAGUUGGGGGCAUUAGUAUUCAAUUGUCAAAGGUGAAAUUCUUGGAUUUAUUGAAGACUAACUACUGCGAAAGCAUUUGCCAAGGAUGUUUUCAUUAAUCAAGAACGAAAGUUAGGGGAUCGAAGACGAUCAGAUACCGUCGUAGUCUUAACCAUAAACUAUGCCGACUAGGGAUCGGAUGAUGUUAAUUUUUUAAUGACUCAUUCGGCGCCUUACGGGAAACCAAAGUGUUUGGGUUC
RNAcentral lists this ribosomal RNA (799 nucleotides) under uncultured Glomus. RNAcentral describes it as "SSU rRNA". It matches the Rfam family "Eukaryotic small subunit ribosomal RNA", at positions 314 to 1114 of the family's 1831-position model. The record is from RNAcentral. Lineage: Eukaryota; Fungi; Glomeromycota; Glomeromycetes; Glomerales; Glomeraceae.